GUUUAUUUCCAUAUAACAAUGGGAACCCCCAAUCUCGGAAGCUAAGCAAGGUUUGGCCUGGUCAGUACUUGGAUGGGAGGCUGCCUUAAAUGACAGGUGCUGCAAGUC
Molecule: ribosomal RNA, 108 nt
Organism: Sinocyclocheilus anshuiensis
Lineage: Eukaryota; Metazoa; Chordata; Actinopteri; Cypriniformes; Cyprinidae
Source: Ensembl